GCUUACCUGUCCCGAUGGUAUUCACUAGACACGUUGCCUGUUUUCGUCUCGCGUUCUUAUGGGGCGUGAGAUGAACUAGUUGGUGCCUUGCGUGUUCCUUUCUGAGCCGUUGGCUCAUGCAUUGGCCCAUGCUCGGUAGCUGGUACUCUCGGAUGCUGAAAAUUGUGUGGGCAAAAGGGUUCGAACCCCUUCAUCACAAGCCCUGGCCUAGCGCUCGUCGCUCAAACCGGAAAGACGUUGCCCCUCGCCUUGGCCUUGCUGAGCCAUCGGUUCUAGCAACGGCCAUGCGUUGUGCUAUCGUCUCGAGGAAAGUUACCUGGUUGAUCC
RNAcentral lists this unclassified non-coding RNA (327 nucleotides) under Euonymus cornutus. RNAcentral describes it as "partial contains external transcribed spacer and 18S ribosomal RNA". The record is from RNAcentral. Lineage: Eukaryota; Viridiplantae; Streptophyta; Magnoliopsida; Celastrales; Celastraceae.